This is a long non-coding RNA of Pseudopodoces humilis (Tibetan ground-tit), 597 nucleotides long. RefSeq lists it as uncharacterized. NCBI's taxonomy places the organism in Eukaryota, Metazoa, Chordata, Aves, Passeriformes, Paridae. The record is from RefSeq and is a predicted model, not a curated record.
GGGCACGACUCAAGUUACACGGAGCGGCGAGCUGCCUUCAGGAGAAGGAUCUGACCUUCAGGGACAGGCAGCGAGGGGGAGAAAAAAAUGCAAAAAGAGCACAUGAUGCAGGGAAAUGGGUGCGAAGAAAUAGGAGAAAGGGAAGGACAAGUGGCGCUCGCAUCUGCUGUCCUGCCAAGGAGACGGGCUCGGGGUAUUUGUAGCUGGUGACAAAAUACCUCCGAGAGGAGCAGCCAUCACCAGGGGGUGUACGCGGCGCACCGGCUGCGAGGAUGGAAAAGCAAACAAGUGUAAAGGAUGGUCAAAAACACAGGAGCCUUCCCGUUCGCAUCGUGUCGAUGAAUGAAGCUACAGGUUCAUUUCACAGCUCUCUCAACCAUCCCGGACGCUGAAACCGAGUGCCGAGACUCGCCGCUUCUGCCCUCCCUCCGUGCAGGAAACAACAGGCGAGAAGGAGGCGAAGGGAUGGAGCGGUGCGCUCCGUGCGAACUUCCAGCCCUUCCCCAGGAUAAAAUAUCCCGAGGGGGGGAAAAAAAAAAAAAAGCGGGGAGCAGCUGGUGCAUGGAAAGUUAUGAGCACAAACAGAUGCUGAAAGCA